Bubalus bubalis (water buffalo) is the source of this 6747-nucleotide RNA transcript. It is a transcript of the gene named AVL9 cell migration associated, with no coding region annotated. The transcript is spliced from 17 exons. The record is from RefSeq and is a predicted model, not a curated record. NCBI's taxonomy places the organism in Eukaryota, Metazoa, Chordata, Mammalia, Artiodactyla, Bovidae.
CUUCCCAGUCCCGCCUCGCCCGCGGCGGCCCCGGCAUCAGGUGACAGCCCGGAAACAGCGGAAGCGGAUGAGGGAAGCGCGGCCGCGGCCCGGGGGGGCGGUGCAGAGCUGCAGGAUCCUCGGCCUCUUCCCGGCCCCCUGCGCGGCUCUCAUGCGGCUCCCUCGCUGACACCUGAAAUCCACCUCUCGCCGUCCUCCUGGGGAUCGCGGGGUCGCCGAGCUUGCCGCCCUCGGCGGUUGAAGUCAUCGUUGUGCGGGCCCGCGGCGGUCGUCCAUGGAGAUCAGGCGGGGCGGCGAUGGCCCCCAACGGGGGCCAGUCCUGCACAUCGUGGUGGUCGGCUUUCAUCACAAGAAGGGCUGCCAGGUCGAGUUCUCUUACCCACCCCUGAUUCCAGGAGAUGGACAUGAUAGUCACACCUUACCUGAAGAGUGGAAGUAUCUGCCCUUCCUUGCCUUACCAGACGGCGCACACAACUACCAAGAAGAUACUGUGUUUUUUCACUUGCCACCUAGAAAUGGAAAUGGAGCCACUAUAUAUGGUAUCUCUUGCUAUCGACAAAUUGAAGCCAAGGCAUUGAAAGUACGGCAAGCAGAUAUCACCAGAGAGACUGUUCAAAAAAGUGUCUGUGUUCUAAGCAAGCUGCCUCUCUAUGGCUUACUCCAAGCAAAACUUCAACUCAUUACACAUGCAUAUUUUGAAGAGAAGGAUUUUUCACAAAUUUCCAUUCUAAAGGAGCUCUAUGAACAUAUGAAUAGUUCCCUGGGAGGAACUUCAUUAGAAGGAUCCCAGGUAUAUCUUGGUUUAUCUCCUCGGGAUCUUGUGCUUCAUUUUCGACACAAGGUUCUAAUCCUAUUUAAACUAAUUCUUCUUGAAAAAAAGGUUCUCUUUUAUAUUUCUCCAGUGAAUAAAUUGGUGGGUGCCCUGAUGACUGUGUUAUCCCUUUUUCCAGGCAUGAUUGAACAUGGACUCAGUGACAGUUCUCAGUAUAGACCCCGAAAAAGUAUGUCUGAAGAUGCUGGGCUUCAGGAAAGUAAUCCCCCUGCAGAUGAAUUUGUUUCUGUGCCUGCUUCUGACAUUUCAAAUACCAACUUGGGAACUGUCAAGAAAAUCCUGGGAAACCAUGGAGGAGAUGCAGCCAUCAAAACUGAAGAACCUUUGUUCCAGGUAGAAGAUGAUAGUAGUGAACAAGAAGCCAGUGAUAGCAAUCAAUAUCUGAAACCUCCUUCUCGCCCAUCUCCAGAGUCUUCAGAAAGUGACUGGGAGACCUUGGAUCCUACUGUCUUGGAGGACUCCUCCUUGAAAGAACGAGAACAGGUGGGGUCAGAACAGACAAACUCAUUUCCAAAGGACUCUUUGCCCUCAGAUAGUCCUCCGAUUACUGUUCAACCUCAAGCUAAUACCGGCCAGGUGGUCCUAAUACCAGGGCUGAUUUCUGGCUUGGAGGAGGACCAGUAUGGCAUGCCCCUGGCCAUCUUCACAAAGGGAUAUCUGUGUUUGCCUUAUAUGGCAUUGCAGCAGCAUCAUCUUCUCUCUGAUGUCACCAUUCGAGGAUUUGUUGCUGGAGCUACUAAUAUCCUUUUUCGACAACAGAAACACCUCAGUGAUGCCAUUGUGGAAGUAGAAGAAGCUCUGAUCCAGAUCCAUGAUCCAGAACUUAGGAAGCUGCUCAAUCCAACCACUGCAGACCUAAGGUUCGCAGAUUACCUAGUGAGGCACGUGACUGAGAACCGGGACGACGUCUUCCUGGAUGGCACGGGCUGGGAGGGAGGUGACGAGUGGAUCCGAGCACAGUUUGCAGUCUAUAUUCACGCACUGUUGGCCGCCACACUGCAGCUAGAUAAUGAAAAGAUCUUAUCGGACUAUGGGACGACCUUUGUUACAGCAUGGAAGAACACUCACAACUACAGGGUCUGGAACAGCAACAAGCAUCCAGCACUUGCAGAAAUAAAUCCAAACCAUCCUUUCCAAGGACAGUACUCAGUGUCAGACAUGAAGUUAAGAUUCUCACAUUCUGUUCAAAACAGUGAGCGUGGCAAAAAACUUGGAAACGUCAUGGUUACAACAAGUCGGAAUGUUGUACAAACAGGAAAAGCUGUUGCUCUCCAAGUCAUUUAAGAACCACUGGCCUGGGAAAAGUUUCCCCAAGACUUUCAAAAUACUUAGGAGAGCAGUGUCUUAUCCCCAGACACUAGUCAGGUUCCUCUUAGACAUUCCCAUGGCCAGUCGGUUGGAGGAGCUUUUUCCAGUGCGAAGACAGCUAUGUCUUCAUGGCUUUCUACUUUCACCAGUUCCACUCCACAGAGUCUCACUGAGCUGCCUGACGGGAAACCCUGAGCCGAGCAAGCCACCCAGAAGCUGCUGUCGCUUUUUUAAGUUUUAAGCGUCCCCUGUCUGUCUGCUGCUCCCAGACUGUUCCUCUUCAUCGGCUGCAGGUCCACAGCAGGGGACCAAUAGGUCGAACUGUUUACAUGGACGGUUGCCCUCUGUCUAAAUGAAUGUCAUGGGACACUGAAAAGAUGAAAACCACAACCGCAGCCGGGACGGCUUCCCAGGUUGGGGUUUAAAUUGACUACGUUUAUUUCAGUCUGAGCCUGAUUAAAACACACAGCGAACCUUCUAAUGAAUUUUGAGUUCUGACAUUAUACAUUUGUUUACUUUAGAAAAGUUUCUCCUUGAUGUAAGUUUUGUUCUGUUGUUGCUGUUUGAAUAUCCAGAUGGAUAUUUAUACGUGCUAAGAUUAAGUUAUAUUACUAUUUUAAUUUCUCUAAAGUGAGCCCUAAAAUGUUCUGAUAGCGUGGAGGGGCCAUACAAUCCAACCCUUUGCUGUUAUUUUGCUGAGUUAUAUGAGGAUUUUUUUGUUGGUUGGUUCUUCACCUACAAAACAAAUUUGUCAUUCACUUCCUCCUGGAAACCAUAGAAGUCAGAGGUGGUAGUUCUGAGGAUGGAGUGUUUUGUGGUUUUAAUUUAUCCUUUUCCCAUCCUACACACUUGCUUUGAGGUGUCAAGGAGUGUCACUGUGCUUUCCUCCUCUUCCUAAUUGUUCAAGUAGAUGUGCAAAGAAUGAGCAUGGUGAUGGUUACAGCCGAGUUGCAACAGUUUAACUGUGUAUUUAGGGCAAGACUUUUAAGGACCUAGGUAGGUUCUGUUGCAAUCUUUACAUGCGUUUUUUAACCCGAAGUUUGUGCCUUCUAUUUCUUCUUUUGGACGGUUUUCCAUUGGGUGUUUACAGAUUUAACAGGUUUUUUCUCUGUCUUACUCUUCAUGAAGCUUUUCGAGGCACUUGGCCUUCCUCCUUCCCUGAUAGAAAAUCCUCAUGUAAUCAAUGUCUACCCCCUUCCAAAAGCAUUUACAAAAGAAAAGAUGAUCUGUAAAUAUUAAAUAGAAUUCUCAUCUUGGCUCACAUUUAGAAAAGCAAGAGAAGAAAAACUUCAGCCAUGAUAUUAGUCAUGUUUUGUGAAGGACAUCUGGGUUCAUGUUAGACACAGGUGUGCUCACAACUGAAGAUUUUUACACAACGAGACCUCAUGUAGCUGCCAGGCUCAGCUCUCAUUUGCUUUUCAAGGGGACUCUGGGUGUUCUCAGAGAGUACUUACAGGCGACAGACUGCUUUUUCAGUAACAAAAGAUACUUGGGAAAUACAUUGUGAAUAUAAUCUACAUUUGAUGUGAUGAGUAUUGAGAAAAUCGGGGGCCUAAUUAGGGAGGGGGACUCUUGAUUAUAUUUGAUUUAUCCUUUAAGAAAUGUUUGUGUAAGAAGCACUACUGGGGUGUGUGAAAUGAAGCAUAGGGACAUAAUCCAUAUAUCCCUGAAUUUUCCAAUUUGUGUUUUAACACAAGUCCUACAAACCUAAAGCAUACUUCCCUUUGAGUAUAAUGAUUUAAGAAUUCAUUGAUGAUAAAGGGCUUAUUGUGGGAAACAUUAAUUUUACUUCUAGGAAAGCUUUCUCAGGAAAAUACUGUUUGAAGAGAAGAAGGUAGUACCGAACAAAAGUUUUAAAAGGUACUUUAAAGUUGCACUGAGACGAACAUCUCGUUGUUUCAUGAGGGCGCGUCAUUGGCUAGAGUAUGAUAGGGUAUCAGAUAGCGUUCAUAGUGCUGUGAGGGGUCAGCCAGCAUGCUGCUAGUUCAUCCUUUAGUUUGUAUGAUUUGUAUGAUUGGGGUGAAUUCUCAUCUCUCGUCAUUCAAAGCAGCCCAGUCCACUUUGGAAUCCCAUUGAAAUAAAAAUAGUUACAUAAAAUUUAACUUUGCUUUGCUAUCACUCCCCAUUUUAAUGCACACCUUAAUGAAACUUUCUCUUCACGUUUCCAGUUAAGAGUUCCACCCUUACAGUGGUCAUUAAACUGGCUUUCAACAUAAAAUGAAUAUUUCAGAAGAUAGAACUUCUGUCAUAGAGACGGUCAAACGACCAUAACUAUAUUUAUUCUUUCAGGUUCUAGGAGGUAUGGGGGUCUUCAGGGAGUGCAAGCUGUCACAUUGUUGGCGGGGCCCAGGGCAGCCAGCACAGGGAGAGGCAGGAGGCCUGGCCCCUGGUCCUGGGGGCCUGCGCUUCAGGUUUGGAUUCUGGGCUCCGCCCAGCGGCAGCCUGGAAACAAUAGCUUCCUCCAGUCCCUGGCUCUGUGAGCCGUAGCAGCCAGCACGGAUGUGGCCGUCUGUGGACAUAUCACUGGUAAAGAUGGGUGCUUUGCUUGGCCACAGUGCUUUCAUCUGAGAACUUAGUGUGUUUAAGUAGGCCUGAGGGAGCUAGGGUCAGCCAGGCUUUUUCAGAGUGCGCCAGGCACACAGACUGCAUCUACAGCUUGGUGGACACUUCUCUGCUAUCCAGGUGACUUAAAGAUAGUGUUUGGAAAAAGUUCCUGGCUUUAAUUCCUACUAGGCACUGUAAUGACGAUGACAUAGGUAAGGGAAAGAGGGCUAAAGCUGCCCCAAGUGUCCCAGGCUAAUGAAUAGAAGAAGUUGCCUGUCAAAGUGUGGCUUGUGGUUAUUUUGUAUUUGCAUUGGCUCUUGUAACCAGGAUGAAUAGUCUAUCCCCAAAUCCGUUAGUGAUUUGCCAGCCCUCUGACCCUAAAACAAUUCUCUUCCACUUUUUGCUUUAAGAAACACAGCAGUAAUAUCCUUGGGCAGCAGACCAGAGCAUAUAACCUGAUCUCCUCAACCUUAUCUUGCUUUCUGAGUCCUAUAUUAAACACUGAAUUUUUUUAAAGGAUAAUUUACUUAGAAAGGCAAGGAGGAAACAAACUUUGAAGGGAGAGAGGAGACAUUUAUUGUUGCAAAGCUGAGAGGUUCUUAAAGUCUGCAUGAAAGAAUUUUGGGAGCAGUAUUUAAUAUGCUAAAGGAUGUACGAGUUCUUUAAUGAAGAAAUUAGAUUUUUCAUCUGCUAGUUACAAGCUGUAAAAUGAAGCUUUAUCUCCCUGGCAGGCAAAUUUUGGUUUGGUUUUGUGGAAGUUCAAGCCAGUGGUCCUUUUCCCUGAGGUGUGGUGAUGAGUUUAGGAACACCCAGCUCUGGGAGGGGCCAGUGGACUAAUCCUGAACCCUUGAACUAUUAUCUGCUUCAGCAAUUUUGGAAAGUAGCCUGUUAGGAUGGUAGCCGAUGAAUGUGGCCUGUUACUCUAUUGGGGAGUUGGCUGGGACUCUGGAGAUGGUAUUGACACUGGCGUGCUCUGACUGUGUGGCCAGAGUAUUCAGAGCCGCACAGCAUUCAGUCUGCCCACCCAGUUCUGUGGUAUCCUCUAAACAAGAUAGAGAACGCAGCCCUGGUUUCUAGAAGAAGAUUGUCAUUCCACGUAGCGCAAUGUGUUGCUAGGAGUUUUUUCAUUCCAAGUCUUUGGGCUUCGUAACAUUGGAAUUGUUUUUUCAUAAUUCCCAACAUUCCAUAAAUAUUUGUCAAGGACAAAGAAAAGGAAUGUGUUUCUUUAUUCUUCUCACAUAAAUAACUUUGUACACAUGACUUCCUGCUUUCAUAUGAAGGAGAAGAAACUAGCUCCCUUAUGUGGCAGCUCCAAAAUUAAAAGAUUGUUGCACGUAUAAGGGGUUGAAUAUAUUUUAUAAAACCAAUGCAUUUGUAUUUCUGUGCUGUUCUAAAGAUUACCUUUUUACUUAUAUUAAUUAAAGAUAUAGAAAGUAUAUAUUUAAAUCAUGUAAAUGUGACUCAUUAGGGAGUUUCCUCAAUCUUAAUAUUCAUCAGCUUCUCACACUCAUAUAGUAUGCUGCUCAAAUUUUUCUGUGUGCAAUAUGAACAUUUGAACAUUUCAGUCAGGUACUGAGCCAGAAAAGGUAAUUGAAGUUUUUAGAAAACUUAACGUUGCUUAGAAAAUAUUUUGUUUUCUUGAAAUAGUAAUAAUUUAUAGCUGGAAAGAUAAGAUCAAGACUUAUUUCAGGCCACUUGGUCGCUGGUUCCUAAAUUUAGGAAGCACUUGAUUAACAAGUUGUUGAAAGCAUUUAGUGGGUACAGCAAUAGUUUAAAUACUUGAGAUUGAAGGCUUUCCUCCGAUCCCUUUCUAAGAAGUUUUAGCUUAGAAAUCUUAGAAAGUUUUCUAAGGGAGUAUAGCUGUGGUACAUGUUCCGAUCAGAAAGGUAGUUUCUCUUUGCUCUGUUAGUUUUAUAAUUUAUAACAGUUAUUUGUUUCUGUUGUCAUUUGUUUUUUUUUUAUGUUAAAAUUAUAAAUCACGUCUAAUCAUACUGAAUUAUAAAACUUCUACUGUAUCUUUCUUUUAAGGAAAAAUGAGAAUAAAUUAUCCUGUUUGUCCUGCA